This 495-nucleotide ribosomal RNA is filed under the name uncultured bacterium. Its description in RNAcentral is "partial 16S ribosomal RNA". It matches the Rfam family "Bacterial small subunit ribosomal RNA", at positions 28 to 507 of the family's 1533-position model. The record is from RNAcentral.
GAUGAACGCUGGCGGCGUGCCUAAUACAUGCAAGUAGAACGCUGAAGGAGGAGCUUGCUCUUCUGGAUGAGUUGCGAACGGGUGAGUAACGCGUAGGUAACCUGCCUGGUAGCGGGGGAUAACUAUUGGAAACGAUAGCUAAUACCGCAUGACAACAGUUAUUGCAUGAUAACUGUUUAAAAGGGGCAACUGCUCCACUACCAGAUGGACCUGCGUUGUAUUAGCUAGUUGGUGAGGUAACGGCUCACCAAGGCGACGAUACAUAGCCUACCUGAGAGGGUGAUCGGCCACACUGGGACUGAGACACGGCCCAGACUCCUACGGGAGGCAGCAGUAGGGAAUCUUCGGCAAUGGACGGAAGUCGGACCGAGCAACGCCGCGUGAGUGAAGAAGGUUUUCGGAUCGUAAAGCUCUGUUGUAAGAGAAGAACGAGGGUGAGAGUGGAAAGUUCACACUGUGACGGUAUCUUACCAGAAAGGGACGGCUAACUACGUG